AGCGGAUUGAUGUAAUAGUAACAUAUUUGACUCAUGAUCAAAUUACAAAGGUGCGAAUCCUUUAUCCGUAU
Colletotrichum incanum is the source of this 71-nucleotide transfer RNA. It matches the Rfam family "tRNA". Rfam says of the family: Transfer RNA (tRNA) molecules are approximately 80 nucleotides in length. Their secondary structure includes four short double-helical elements and three loops (D, anti-codon, and T loops). The record is from Rfam. Lineage: Eukaryota; Fungi; Ascomycota; Sordariomycetes; Glomerellales; Glomerellaceae.